GUUCUACCUUGACGAAUUGUAGUUUAAAGAAGUGUUUUCUGUUAGAGGAGUAGCAAAAGUUCCUUGGAAUGGGACACCAUAGAGGGUGAGAAUCCCGUAUUUGGUUAUUCUUUCUAGCUUUGUGAUACACUUUCAAAGAGUCGGAUUGUUUGGGAAUGCAGUCCAAAAUGGGUGGUAAAUUUCAUCUAAAGCUAAAUAUUGGCGAGAGACCGAUAGCGAACAAGUACCGUGAGGGAAAGAUGAAAAGAACUUUGAAAAGAGAGUUAAACAGUACGUGAAAUUGUCAAAAGGGAAGCGUUUGACACCAGUGUUGUUUUUCCGAAAAUCAAUUAAGAAGGGCUUGAUUUCGUGUUGUAUUGACCUUAUCAGCUUUCUUCACUCUUUUUCGAGUCUUUCUU
RNAcentral lists this ribosomal RNA (398 nucleotides) under uncultured Neocallimastigomycetes. RNAcentral describes it as "eukaryotic LSU rRNA". It matches the Rfam family "Eukaryotic large subunit ribosomal RNA", at positions 127 to 522 of the family's 3401-position model. Lineage: Eukaryota; Fungi; Neocallimastigomycota; Neocallimastigomycetes. The record is from RNAcentral.